UACAAGCUUCCCUACCAAAUGUUAGCAUGA
This 30-nucleotide non-coding RNA is filed under the name Rattus norvegicus (Norway rat). The record is from RNAcentral. Lineage: Eukaryota; Metazoa; Chordata; Mammalia; Rodentia; Muridae.